Molecule: non-coding RNA, 266 nt
Organism: Pseudonaja textilis
Lineage: Eukaryota; Metazoa; Chordata; Lepidosauria; Squamata; Elapidae
Source: RefSeq, a predicted model, not a curated record
CCAUUAUCCAACUGAUCCUCAAUGUGAAAUCAACUUUGUUGCUUUAGAGCAGGGGUGUCAAACCCACAUUGCCACAGUGGCAUCAAAUGAAGUAUUGGGAUUUCCCCCCCACCUUUGCUAAACCAGGCAUGGGCGUGGCCAGCUUGUGUUUCAUCUGGCCCAUGGGGCAGAGUUUGACAGCCCUGCUUUAGAGUGAAUAGGGUUUGAUAUCUUCUCCCUACCUUUCCUUCUCUUCCAAGUCUACAUAUUUACUCUGAUCAGCAGAG